CGAGCACGAACAUCAAGGCACAACACCUGAGGAAGCAGGGUAAUUAUUUUGAAGGGAUAAACUCUCAGCCACAACACUAUCACUAAUCAUAACCGCAUCACUAUUGUCAAAUUUGAGCAUGCACCUAGCCNNNNNNNNNAUUCAAGCGCUUGUUGAUAGCUGAAAGUUGUUUCGAUGGACUUUCGUGACGCCGAGUGCUCCCUCCAAAUAAAGCAUAGUAGCUUUUAGUCAAUAUAUUUGAGUUCAAAGCAUCCCUCUUUGAUGGUCGUAAUGGGGACAGGUAGAC
This 286-nucleotide unclassified non-coding RNA is filed under the name Hevea brasiliensis (rubber tree). The record is from RNAcentral. Lineage: Eukaryota; Viridiplantae; Streptophyta; Magnoliopsida; Malpighiales; Euphorbiaceae.